GACGAACGCUGGCGGCGUGCUUAACACAUGCAAGUCGAGCGGUAAGGCCCUUUCGGGGGUACGACGAGCGGCGAACGGGUGAGUAACACGUGGGUGACCUGCCCUUAGCUCUGGGAUAAGCCUGGGAAACUGGGUCUAAUACCGGAUAUGACUCCGCGGUGCAUGCUGUGGGGUGGAAAGCCUUGUGCGGCUGGAGAUGGGCCCGCGGCCUAUCAGCUUGUUGGUGGGGUGAUGGCCACCAAGGCGACGACGGUAGCCGGCCUGAGAGGGCGACCGGCCACACUGGGACUGAGACACGGCCCAGACUCCUACGGGAGGCAGCAGUGGGGAAUCUUGCGCAAUGGCGAAAGCCUGACGCAGCGACGCCGCGUGAGGGAUGACGGCC
RNAcentral lists this ribosomal RNA (385 nucleotides) under uncultured bacterium. RNAcentral's name for it is "bacterial SSU rRNA". It matches the Rfam family "Bacterial small subunit ribosomal RNA", at positions 28 to 416 of the family's 1533-position model. The record is from RNAcentral.